Cyprinus carpio carpio is the source of this 1263-nucleotide long non-coding RNA. The record is from Ensembl. Lineage: Eukaryota; Metazoa; Chordata; Actinopteri; Cypriniformes; Cyprinidae.
UAGACAUGAAAUAGGCAUCUGAGUGAUGUAUGUCUGCUAUAAUGCAGAAUUCACUUUUGUCAACACUGCUUUAGAUGAGUGUAAGUCUACUCUAAAUCUAUGUAAACUAACUAAACAUAAGUUAUCUAUUUUAUUUGUCCAUUUGCAAUACUGAUAAUUUAAGGAACAUUUGUGUUGGAUAAAAAGCGAGUUACAUCAGCAACUAACUCAACAUGUAAAUGUAGUAAAUCACAGAUAAAUCACAGAGGAGACUGACUCUUGUCUGGAUGUUACAGGGACAGAUGAGACACGCGUGUGUUUAUCUGCUGCAGAGAGACUGAUGAAGCAAUGGUGCCAUCAAAGGAUUUGUGAUAGGAACAUGUCUGCAGACUGGUGUGUGCUGUGAGAAUGGAGAAGUCCACAGCAGCAUCCUGGAAAUGGUCCAGCGACACGGAUGAGACACUCCCUCACUCCACCUGCCCUUACUGUCUCAUCUGAGCUGGAUGUUGCUGUGGUCUCUUCAUCAUCAGUGACCCCAGAGCCAGCGAGAGGAUCUAGAGAAAGACCAAAAGACACUGAGGAUUUGAUUUUGGUAAAGUAUGUUCUGCGGCUUUCUGUUUAUACAACGAAGGCUGACUUUCAGAAGCUUCAAAAGCAUCAUCAUCAAAAAAUGUCAUGGAUCUUUUAUCUGAAGUGAUUAAGAGUGCUCUUAUUACAUGGACCUACAAACCCUGGAUCAACCUGGAGAAAAGAGCCUUGCUCAAGGACACACUGGUGGUUUUGAACCAGUAUCCUUCUGCUCACCAGUUCAGUGAUUUAGCCCACUACAAAAGUAAUAAAUCAAUGUACUUGUAAACUCUGUGUAAAUGCUUUACAGGUUGUGCUCAUGGAGAGCAGACACAUGAAUGUUUGGAGCAGACACAGCAGCAGCUAGUCAGAUUGUCCCGCACGUGUUCCUCUGCUCUUGUUUCAAGGUUGAGUGGUUCAGAGAGCCGUCAUCAUGGUCUUCCUUAUCCUGUUGCUCAAUGACAUCCCCAUUGAGAUAAGUGAGAUUGUGAAGCACAGCGCGGCAGCAGAAUGAGCACAGCUGUGUUGAGAUGAUAGUAGGAUGUUGGGUUCACCAUCUGUAAAUACAUGAUUGUUAGAACAAUAAGUUUGAAUGAUGCUUUGUAUCAUGUUGUUGAAUUGUACAUGUAUGCAUUUAUUGUGAUACUAACUUUUAUACAUUAUUUUAAUCAUUUAGACAUGUUUCUUGUUGUCAGUAAAUAAAAUAUAAAUACUUUA